GACGAACGCUGGCGGCGUGCUUAACACAUGCAAGUCGAACGGUAAGGCCCUGCUUUUGUGGGGUGCUCGAGUGGCGAACGGGUGAGUAACACGUGAGUAACCUGCCCUUGACUUUGGGAUAACUUCAGGAAACUGGGGCUAAUACCGGAUAGGAGCUCCUGCUGCAUGGUGGGGGUUGGAAAGUUUCGGUGGUUGGGGAUGGACUCGCGGCUUAUCAGCUUGUUGGUGGGGUAGUGGCUUACCAAGGCUUUGACGGGUAGCCGGCCUGAGAGGGUGACCGGCCACAUUGGGACUGAGAUACGGCCCAGACUCCUACGGGAGGCAGCAGUGGGGAAUAUUGCACAAUGGGCGGAAGCCUGAUGCAGCAACGCCGCGUGCGGGAUGACGGCCUUCGGGUUGUAAACCGCUUUCGCCUGUGACGAAGCGUGAGUGACGGUAAUGGGUAAAGAAGCACCGGCUAACUACGUG
Molecule: ribosomal RNA, 468 nt
Filed under: uncultured bacterium
Lineage: Bacteria
Description: partial 16S ribosomal RNA
Rfam family: Bacterial small subunit ribosomal RNA
Source: RNAcentral